RNAcentral lists this ribosomal RNA (252 nucleotides) under uncultured bacterium. Its description in RNAcentral is "partial 16S ribosomal RNA". It matches the Rfam family "Bacterial small subunit ribosomal RNA", at positions 524 to 776 of the family's 1533-position model. The record is from RNAcentral.
UACGUAGGUGGCAAGCGUUGUCCGGAAUUACUGGGCGUAAAGGGCUCGUAGGUGGCCAACUAAGUCGGACGUGAAAUCCCUCAGCUUAACUGGGGAACUGCGUCCGAUACUGGAUGGCUUGAGUUUGGGAGAGGGAUGCGGAAUUCCAGGUGUAGCGGUGAAAUGCGUAGAUAUCUGGAGGAACACCGGUGGCGAAGGCGGCAUCCUGGACCAACACUGACACUGAGGAGCGAAAGCCAGGGAGCAAACGGG